This 254-nucleotide ribosomal RNA is filed under the name uncultured bacterium. RNAcentral's name for it is "partial 16S ribosomal RNA". It matches the Rfam family "Bacterial small subunit ribosomal RNA", at positions 524 to 776 of the family's 1533-position model. The record is from RNAcentral.
UACGGGGGGGGCAAGCGUUGUUCGGAAUUACUGGGCGUAAAGGGCGCGCAGGCGGCUGCUCAAGUCAGGCGUGAAAGGCCUGGGCUCAACCCGGGAAUUGCGCUUGAGACUGGGCUGGCUUGAGUGCGGGAGAGGAUGGUGGAAUUCCAGGUGUAGCGGUGAAAUGCGUAGAUAUCGGGAGGAACACCAGUGGCGAAGGCGACUACCUGGCCUGUUCUUGACGCUGAGGCGCGAAAGCUAGGGGAGCAAACGGG